CGUUGUCUGCUAUACGCAGGAAGACCC
This 27-nucleotide ribosomal RNA is filed under the name Trichomonas sp. RNAcentral's name for it is "partial 28S ribosomal RNA". Lineage: Eukaryota; Parabasalia; Trichomonadida; Trichomonadidae. The record is from RNAcentral.